This 246-nucleotide ribosomal RNA is filed under the name uncultured bacterium. Its description in RNAcentral is "partial 16S ribosomal RNA". It matches the Rfam family "Bacterial small subunit ribosomal RNA", at positions 108 to 353 of the family's 1533-position model. The record is from RNAcentral.
GAGUAACACGUAUCCAACCUGCCGAUGACUCGGGGAUAGCCUUUCGAAAGAAAGAUUAAUACCCGAUGGCAUAGUUCUUCCGCAUGGUGGAACUAUUAAAGAAUUUCGGUCAUCGAUGGGGAUGCGUUCCAUUAGGUUGUUGGCGGGGUAACGGCCCACCAAGCCUUCGAUGGAUAGGGGUUCUGAGAGGAAGGUCCCCCACAUUGGAACUGAGACACGGUCCAAACUCCUACGGGAGGCAGCAUG